GCAUUAUACCGCGAAACUGCGAAUGGCUCAUUAAAUCAGUUAUCGUUUAUUUGAUAGUGCCUUUCCUACUUGGAUAACCGUGGUAAUUCUAGAGCUAAUACAUGCUAAAAAUCCCGACUUCGGAAGGGAUGCAUUUAUUGGAUACAGAACCAACGCCCUCCGGGGCUUUCUGGUGAAUCACAAUAACUCCGCGGAUCGCACGGCCUUGCGCCGGCGAUGGUUCAUUCAAAUUUCUGCCCUAUCAACUUUCGACGGCUGGGUCUUGGCCAGCCGUGGUGACAACGGGUAACGGAGGGUUAGGGCUUGACCCCGGAGAAGGAGCCUGAGAGACGGCUACUACAUCCAAGGAAGGCAGCAGGCGCGCAAAUUACCCAAUCCCGACUCGGGGAGGUAGUGACAAUAAAUACUGAUCCAGGGCUCUUUUGGGUCUUGGAAUUGGAAUGAGUACAAUUUAAAUCCCUUAACGAGGAACAAUUGGAGGGCAAGUCUGGUGCCAGCAGCCGCGGUAAUUCCAGCUCCAAUAGCGUAUAUUAAAGUUGUUGAGGUUAAAAAGCUCGUAGUUGAACCUUGGCCCUGGCUGGCUGGUCCGCCUCACCGCGAGCACUGGUCCGGCCGGGGCUUUCCCUCUGGGGAUCCUCAUGCCCUUCACUGGGUGUGCUGGGGAACCAGGACUUUUACUGUGAACAAAUCAGAUCGCUCAAAGAAGGCUCUCGCUCGAAUGCUUCAGCAUGGAAUAAUGAAAUAGGACGCGCGGUUCUAUUUUGUUGGUUUCUAGGACCGCCGUAAUGAUUAAUAGGGACAGUCGG
Molecule: ribosomal RNA, 806 nt
Filed under: Menisporopsis dushanensis
Lineage: Eukaryota; Fungi; Ascomycota; Sordariomycetes; Chaetosphaeriales; Chaetosphaeriaceae
Description: SSU rRNA
Rfam family: Eukaryotic small subunit ribosomal RNA
Source: RNAcentral